UGGUGCUGGUCUCCUUUACAGAGAUGGAGGGUGUUGCCCUAGGGAGGCUGUCUGUGUCUUGCUGGGUAUUUGAGCUGUAACAGCCCUGCACACUAUGCCCAAAGGCAAAGGGAAUUGGCAAGGAAGAAUGAGUCAGAGCCAGGAAAGGACUUGGAGGUUAUGAGAAGCAUUUCAAAAUGAAUUGGAAGCUUCACAAGCAGCCAACAAGGUGACUGAAGCACAGGAGAAAUAGAAUUGGAGUGCUGUGAGCUGAUGAAUAACCAUAUUGCAGUGUGGCUGAGCACCUGUGGCCACAGCCAGUACAUGGGGAGAGGGAUGAAUGCUGAGGAGCUCUGCUGAUCAGCCCAGCUUGGCAGUGGUGUCAGUCAGGAGCAUGCAGAGCAGGGCUGGUGAACUGCCCUGAGGUUAAUGCACGGAUUCUACAGAAUCACAGACUGGGUUGGGUUGGAAGAGACCUUAGAGAGUGCCUAAUUUCAAUCCCCCUGCUACAGGCAAGGGCACCUGCCGCUGACAAGGCUGCUCAGAGCCCUGUCCCACUCCAUCACUGCUGGAGAGGUGGCACCCGCAGCUUCUCUGGGCAGCCGCUUCAGUGCCUCCCUACCCUCACAGAGGAGAACUUCUUCCUUGCAGCUAACCUUCCCUCUGAACUCACUACCCCUUGUCCCAUCACUUCAUAGCCCUGUUAAAGGUCUCUCCUCACCUGCCCUGUAGCUCCUGAGGCACUGAAAGGCUGCAAUAAGGUUUCCUCGGAGCCUUCUUCUCCCACGGCUGCACAAGAUCAGGUCUCUGAGCUCACAAGGGAGGCCUCCAGGCCCUGAUCAUCUUCAUGUUACACCUUCCCCUGGGCCUGGGUGC
Long non-coding RNA from Pogoniulus pusillus (Red-fronted tinkerbird), 855 nucleotides. RefSeq lists it as uncharacterized. The transcript is spliced from 2 exons. NCBI's taxonomy places the organism in Eukaryota, Metazoa, Chordata, Aves, Piciformes, Lybiidae. The record is from RefSeq and is a predicted model, not a curated record.